RNAcentral lists this long non-coding RNA (476 nucleotides) under Felis catus (domestic cat). Its description in RNAcentral is "lncRNA (ENSFCAG00000043288.2)". The record is from RNAcentral. Lineage: Eukaryota; Metazoa; Chordata; Mammalia; Carnivora; Felidae.
GGUGGGGGGCUGGAGGAGACAAUGCCGGGGGAGAGGCCCCUGCAAACCCGGGAGGGGUCAGAUAAACAACCAAGUGUGGAGAGGGAAGAGAAAGGAGAGUGGAGAGAAAGAUCCUUGAGGAUAAAACAGUUGGAAGGAGCAAUGAUUUAUCCUUCCAUUGGGGGGAAAUGGGGAGAAGGAGAGAGUAAAUUAAGAAGAGAGGAUGGGAGUAAUUUUACAGGUUGAUCCUGGAUUGAGAAGUUUCCAGCCUGGAAUGAUUACAAUUGAAAGAGGUUUUUUUCCUUAUUCUUCCUGCUGCCGACAUACCCACUGCUCUCUUUUAAAACAACAACAUUACCGGGCGCCUGGGCCGUUCAGUAAGUUAAGCGUCCAACUUCGGCUUAGGUCAUGAUCUCAUGAUUCAUGGGUUCGAGCCCGGCAUCAGGCUCUCACCCUCUCAAAAUAAAUAAAGAAACACUUAAAAUAUAAAAAAAAAU